CCUACGGGAGGCAGCAGUGGGGGAUAUUGCACAAUGGGGGAAACCCUGAUGCAGCGACGCCGCGUGGGUGAAGAAGCGCCUCGGCGCGUAAAGCCCUGUCAGCAGGGAAGAAAAUGACGGUACCUGACUAAUAAGCCCCGGCUAACUACGUGCCAGCAGCCGCGGUAAUACGUAGGGGGCAAGCGUUAUCCGGAUUUACUGGGCGUAAAGGGUGCGUAGGUGGGAUUGCAAGCCAGAAGUGAAAACCCGGGGCUUAACUCCGCGGAUUGCUUUUGAAACUGUCAGGCUGGAGUGCAGGAGGGGCAGGCGGAAUUCCUGGUGUAGCGGUGAAAUGCGUAGAGAUCAGGAGGAACACCGAUGGCGAAGGCGGCCUGCUGGACUGUGACUGACACUGAGGCUCGAAAGCGUGGGGAGCAAACAGGAUUAGAUACCCCGGUAGUC
This 441-nucleotide ribosomal RNA is filed under the name uncultured bacterium. RNAcentral's name for it is "partial 16S ribosomal RNA". It matches the Rfam family "Bacterial small subunit ribosomal RNA", at positions 338 to 795 of the family's 1533-position model. The record is from RNAcentral.